This 460-nucleotide ribosomal RNA is filed under the name uncultured bacterium. RNAcentral's name for it is "partial 16S ribosomal RNA". It matches the Rfam family "Bacterial small subunit ribosomal RNA", at positions 338 to 795 of the family's 1533-position model. The record is from RNAcentral.
CCUACGGGAGACAGCAGUGAGGAAUAUUGGUCAAUGGGCGAGAGCCUGAACCAGCCAAGUCGCGUGAAGGAUGACGGCCCUACGGGUUGUAAACCUCUUUAGGCGGGGAGCAAUGCCGGGCACGCGUGCCCGGAGGGAGAGUACCCGCAGAAGCAGCAUCGGCUAACUCCGGGCCAGCAGCCGCGGUAAUAAGGAGGAUGCGAGCGUUAUCCGGAUUUUUUGGGUUAAAAGGGUGCGUAGGCGGAUUGUUAAGUCAGCGGUAAAAUGUCCGGGCUCAACCCGGGCCUGCCGUUGAAACUGGUGAUCUUGAGUGGGCGAGAGGUAUGCGGAAUGCGUGGUGUAGGGGUGAAAUGCAUAGAUAUCACGCAGAACUCCGAUUGCGAAGGCAGCAUACCGGCGCCCGACUGACGCUGAGGCACGAAAGCGUGGGGAUCGAACAGGAUUAGAUACCCGUGUAGUC